Molecule: small nuclear RNA, 188 nt
Organism: Suricata suricatta (meerkat)
Lineage: Eukaryota; Metazoa; Chordata; Mammalia; Carnivora; Herpestidae
Gene: U2
Rfam family: U2 spliceosomal RNA
About the family: U2 is a small nuclear RNA (snRNA) component of the spliceosome (involved in pre-mRNA splicing). Complementary binding between U2 snRNA (in an area lying towards the 5' end but 3' to hairpin I) and the branchpoint sequence (BPS) of the intron results the bulging out of an unpaired adenosine, on the BPS, which initiates a nucleophilic attack at the intronic 5' splice site, thus starting the first of two transesterification reactions that mediate splicing.
Source: Ensembl
AUCACUUCUCAGCCUUUUGGCAAAGAUCAAGUACAGAAUAUUUUCUUGUCAGUUUAGUAUAUGACGCAUCCUCUAUUCGAUGAUGAUAUAUUCAAUGCAUUUUCAGAGCAGGGAGAUAUGAGAGCUUGCUUCAUUUGCUGCACGCAUUGACCUCGUAUUGCACUACCUUCAGGAACAGUGCACCCCCU